AUGGCAUUUCGCCUGGGUGGGAAAAUAUCCCAGACGCUGCCCAAUCCCUGCGGGCCUCUUCGCUCCCGUCCCCCCUCUCCUCCCCUCCCGUCACACGGCCGCCGCCGCUCCCCUCCCCUUCCAACCUCCUGCUCCGACCCCGCAGAGGGCGCGUCCAUGGCCGGAGCGGAGGAGGAGAUCCAGGCGGAGCGCGCCAUCUCCAUCGCCAUGGCCCCCGGCCUUCGUCGAGCCGCUCGUCAUCUUCCUCGUCCUCGUCGUCAACGCCGCCAUCGGCGUCUGGCAGGUGGACUCCGGCGGCUCGUCUCCGUCUUCUUCCUCGUCCCCACGCGCGGCUCCACUUCCCGUUGGCCAUGGGGUUCAGCCUUAAGGGGCACAUCGGGCUGGGCAUCCUCUGUUUCUGAGUGCACGGGGCGGUUCGAGGCGCACUUGUGGAACAAGAACACAUGCACAGAGCCGCAGAGGAAGAAGAAAGGGAGGCAAGUUUAUUUCGGUUUGUCAGGCACGAUAAAAUUUUGA
This 516-nucleotide ribosomal RNA is filed under the name Triticum aestivum (bread wheat). Its description in RNAcentral is "partial small subunit ribosomal RNA". Lineage: Eukaryota; Viridiplantae; Streptophyta; Magnoliopsida; Poales; Poaceae. The record is from RNAcentral.